Pollicipes pollicipes is the source of this 302-nucleotide long non-coding RNA. RefSeq lists it as uncharacterized. The record is from RefSeq and is a predicted model, not a curated record. The transcript is spliced from 3 exons. NCBI's taxonomy places the organism in Eukaryota, Metazoa, Arthropoda, Thecostraca, Pollicipedomorpha, Pollicipedidae.
CCUUGCGUUGCCGUACUGCCGCGUAGGGCCGUAUGUGCUAUGUGAUGCGGCCACGGCGACUGCCUUCACAUGAUGUCGAAAGACCAUGGCUGUGAGAUGUCACAGGGUCCAUCAGCAGUGCAGCCCGACCACUUCUAUGACAAUGACAAGAAGGUGACAGAGCAAAUGAACUGUUCAGUGAUAUGACUCCCGCCACGUCGUGCUGGAGAGGCCUGCUCGGACAUCGGCCGAACAGGCGGAUCGAGUCGGUCCACGCUCAGUGGCGGCGGAGGCGGGCCACUGGCGCUCAGCAGGUGCCGGCG